Molecule: ribosomal RNA, 267 nt
Filed under: uncultured eukaryote
Lineage: Eukaryota
Description: partial 18S ribosomal RNA
Rfam family: Eukaryotic small subunit ribosomal RNA
Source: RNAcentral
GGCUUAAUUUGACUCAACGCGGGAUAACUCACCAGGUCCAGACUUAGAAAGGAUUGACAGACUGAUAGCUCUUUCUUGAUUCUAUGGGUGGUGGUGCAUGGCCGUUCUUAGUUGGUGGAGUGAUUUGUCUGGUUAAUUUCGUUAACGAACGAGACCUUAUCCUGCUAAGUAGUACUGAAAACAAUGCAGUUUGAAAGUGAUCUUCUUAGAGGGACUUUGUGUGUUUAGCACGAGGAAGUGUGAGGCAAUAACAGGUCUGUGAUGCCC